GUAUUGAUGGUUCAGUGGUGGAAUUCUUGCCUGCCAUGUGGGAGGCCUGGGUGUGAUUCCUGGCUAAUGCA
RNAcentral lists this transfer RNA (71 nucleotides) under Anguilla anguilla (European eel). Its description in RNAcentral is "tRNA-OTHER". Lineage: Eukaryota; Metazoa; Chordata; Actinopteri; Anguilliformes; Anguillidae. The record is from RNAcentral.